RNAcentral lists this ribosomal RNA (468 nucleotides) under uncultured bacterium. Its description in RNAcentral is "partial 16S ribosomal RNA". It matches the Rfam family "Bacterial small subunit ribosomal RNA", at positions 28 to 507 of the family's 1533-position model. The record is from RNAcentral.
GGCGAACGCUGGCAGCGUGCUUAACACAUGCAAGUCGAACGGAAAGGCCCUGCUUUUGUGGGGUGCUCGAGUGGCGAACGGGUGAGUAACACGUGAGUAACCUGCCCUUGACUUUGGGAUAACUUCAGGAAACUGGGGCUAAUACCGGAUAGGAGCUCCUGCUGCAUGGUGGGGGUUGGAAAGUUUCGGCGGUUGGGGAUGGACUCGCGGCUUAUCAGCUUGUUGGUGGGGUAGUGGCUUACCAAGGCUUUGACGGGUAGCCGGCCUGAGAGGGUGACCGGCCACAUUGGGACUGAGAUACGGCCCAGACUCCUACGGGAGGCAGCAGUGGGGAAUAUUGCACAAUGGGCGGAAGCCUGAUGCAGCAACGCCGCGUGCGGGAUGACGGCCUUCGGGUUGUAAACCGCUUUCGCCUGUGACGAAGCGUGAGUGACGGUAAUGGGUAAAGAAGCACCGGCUAACUACGUG